Molecule: ribosomal RNA, 917 nt
Filed under: Fusarium oxysporum
Lineage: Eukaryota; Fungi; Ascomycota; Sordariomycetes; Hypocreales; Nectriaceae
Description: eukaryotic LSU rRNA
Rfam family: Eukaryotic large subunit ribosomal RNA (bases 666-917)
Source: RNAcentral
GCUUUUAUAUGCUCCCCCCCUAUUGUACACACCGCCCGUCGCUACUACCGAUUGAAUGGCUCAGUGAGGCGUCCGGACUGGCCCAGAGUGGUGGGCAACUACCGCUCAGGGCCGGAAAGCUCUCCAAACUCGGUCAUUUAGAGGAAGUAAAAGUCGUAACAAGGUCUCCGUUGGUGAACCAGCGGAGGGAUCAUUACCGAGUUUACAACUCCCAAACCCCUGUGAACAUACCUUUAUGUUGCCUCGGCGGAUCAGCCCGCGCCCCGUAAAACGGGACGGCCCGCCGCAGGAACCACAAAACUCUGAUUUUAGUGUAACUUCUGAGUCUAAAAAACAAAUAAAUCAAAACUUUCAACAACGGAUCUCUUGGUUCUGGCAUCGAUGAAGAACGCAGCAAAAUGCGAUAAGUAAUGUGAAUUGCAGAAUUCAGUGAAUCAUCGAAUCUUUGAACGCACAUUGCGCCCGCCAGUAUUCUGGCGGGCAUGCCUGUUCGAGCGUCAUUUCAACCCUCAAGCCCCCGGGUUUGGUGUUGGGGAUCGGGCUGUACUCCAGCCCGGCCCCGAAAUCUAGUGGCGGUCUCGCUGCAGCCUCCAUUGCGUAGUAGCUAACACCUCGCAACUGGAACGCGGCGCGGCCAAGCCGUUAAACCCCCAACUUCUGAAUGUUGACCUCGGAUCAGGUAGGAAUACCCGCUGAACUUAAGCAUAUCAAUAAGCGGAGGAAAAGAAACCAACAGGGAUUGCCCUAGUAACGGCGAGUGAAGCGGCAACAGCUCAAAUUUGAAAUCUGGCUCUCGGGCCCGAGUUGUAAUUUGUAGAGGAUGCUUUUGAUGCGGUGCCUUCCGAGUUCCCUGGAACGGGACGCCAUAGAGGGUGAGAGCCCCGUCUGGUGGAUGCUCAAAUCUCAGAUUGUCUACA